RNAcentral lists this ribosomal RNA (2622 nucleotides) under Klebsiella pneumoniae. RNAcentral describes it as "bacterial LSU rRNA". It matches the Rfam family "Bacterial large subunit ribosomal RNA". The record is from RNAcentral. Lineage: Bacteria; Pseudomonadati; Pseudomonadota; Gammaproteobacteria; Enterobacterales; Enterobacteriaceae.
UUAAGCGACUAAGCGUACACGGUGGAUGCCCUGGCAGUCAGAGGCGAUGAAGGACGUGCUAAUCUGCGAAAAGCGUCGGUAAGGUGAUAUGAACCGUUACAGCCGGCGAUGUCCGAAUGGGGAAACCCAGUGCAAUUCGUUGCACUAUCGUUAACUGAAUACAUAGGUUAACGAGGCGAACCGGGGGAACUGAAACAUCUAAGUACCCCGAGGAAAAGAAAUCAACCGAGAUUCCCCCAGUAGCGGCGAGCGAACGGGGAGCAGCCCAGAGUCUGAAUCAGCUUGUGUGUUAGUGGAACGGUCUGGAAAGUCCGACGGUACAGGGUGAUAGUCCCGUACACCAAAAUGCACAGGCUGUGAACUCGAAGAGUAGGGCGGGACACGUGGUAUCCUGUCUGAAUAUGGGGGGACCAUCCUCCAAGGCUAAAUACUCCUGACUGACCGAUAGUGAACCAGUACCGUGAGGGAAAGGCGAAAAGAACCCCGGCGAGGGGAGUGAAAAAGAACCUGAAACCGUGUACGUACAAGCAGUGGGAGCACCUUCGGGUGUGACUGCGUACCUUUUGUAUAAUGGGUCAGCGACUUAUAUUCUGUAGCAAGGUUAACCGUAUAGGGGAGCCGCAGGGAAACCGAGUCUUAACUGGGCGUUAAGUUGCAGGGUAUAGACCCGAAACCCGGUGAUCUAGCCAUGGGCAGGUUGAAGGUUGGGUAACACUAACUGGAGGACCGAACCGACUAAUGUUGAAAAAUUAGCGGAUGACUUGUGGCUGGGGGUGAAAGGCCAAUCAAACCGGGAGAUAGCUGGUUCUCCCCGAAAGCUAUUUAGGUAGCGCCUCGUGAACUCAUCUUCGGGGGUAGAGCACUGUUUCGGCUAGGGGGUCAUCCCGACUUACCAACCCGAUGCAAACUACGAAUACCGAAGAAUGUUAUCACGGGAGACACACGGCGGGUGCUAACGUCCGUCGUGAAGAGGGAAACAACCCAGACCGCCAGCUAAGGUCCCAAAGUCAUGGUUAAGUGGGAAACGAUGUGGGAAGGCACAGACAGCCAGGAUGUUGGCUUAGAAGCAGCCAUCAUUUAAAGAAAGCGUAAUAGCUCACUGGUCGAGUCGGCCUGCGCGGAAGAUGUAACGGGGCUAAACCAUGCACCGAAGCUGCGGCAGCGACACUAUGUGUUGUUGGGUAGGGGAGCGUUCUGUAAGCCUGCGAAGGUGUGCUGUGAGGCAUGCUGGAGGUAUCAGAAGUGCGAAUGCUGACAUAAGUAACGAUAAAGCGGGUGAAAAGCCCGCUCGCCGGAAGACCAAGGGUUCCUGUCCAACGUUAAUCGGGGCAGGGUGAGUCGACCCCUAAGGCGAGGCCGAAAGGCGUAGUCGAUGGGAAACAGGUUAAUAUUCCUGUACUUGGUGUUACUGCGAAGGGGGGACGGAGAAGGCUAUGUUAGCCGGGCGACGGUUGUCCCGGUUUAAGCAUGUAGGCUGAUUAUCCAGGCAAAUCCGGAUAAUCAAGGCUGAGGUGUGAUGACGAGGCACUACGGUGCUGAAGUAACAAAUGCCCUGCUUCCAGGAAAAGCCUCUAAGCAUCAGGUAACAUCAAAUCGUACCCCAAACCGACACAGGUGGUCAGGUAGAGAAUACCAAGGCGCUUGAGAGAACUCGGGUGAAGGAACUAGGCAAAAUGGUGCCGUAACUUCGGGAGAAGGCACGCUGGUGUGUAGGUGAAGUCCCUGCGGAUGGAGCUGAGACCAGUCGAAGAUACCAGCUGGCUGCAACUGUUUAUUAAAAACACAGCACUGUGCAAACACGAAAGUGGACGUAUACGGUGUGACGCCUGCCCGGUGCCGGAAGGUUAAUUGAUGGGGUUAUCCGUAAGGAGAAGCUCUUGAUCGAAGCCCCGGUAAACGGCGGCCGUAACUAUAACGGUCCUAAGGUAGCGAAAUUCCUUGUCGGGUAAGUUCCGACCUGCACGAAUGGCGUAAUGAUGGCCAGGCUGUCUCCACCCGAGACUCAGUGAAAUUGAACUCGCUGUGAAGAUGCAGUGUACCCGCGGCAAGACGGAAAGACCCCGUGAACCUUUACUAUAGCUUGACACUGAACAUUGAGCCUUGAUGUGUAGGAUAGGUGGGAGGCUUUGAAGCGUGGACGCCAGUCUGCGUGGAGCCAACCUUGAAAUACCACCCUUUAAUGUUUGAUGUUCUAACGUUGGCCCCUGACCGGGGUUGCGGACAGUGUCUGGUGGGUAGUUUGACUGGGGCGGUCUCCUCCCAAAGCGUAACGGAGGAGCACGAAGGUUAGCUAAUCCUGGUCGGACAUCAGGAGGUUAGUGCAAUGGCAUAAGCUAGCUUGACUGCGAGCGUGACGGCGCGAGCAGGUGCGAAAGCAGGUCAUAGUGAUCCGGUGGUUCUGAAUGGAAGGGCCAUCGCUCAACGGAUAAAAGGUACUCCGGGGAUAACAGGCUGAUACCGCCCAAGAGUUCAUAUCGACGGCGGUGUUUGGCACCUCGAUGUCGGCUCAUCACAUCCUGGGGCUGAAGUAGGUCCCAAGGGUAUGGCUGUUCGCCAUUUAAAGUGGUACGCGAGCUGGGUUUAGAACGUCGUGAGACAGUUCGGUCCCUAUCUGCCGUGGGC